GACGAACGCUGGCGGCGUGCUUAACACAUGCAAGUCGAGCGGAAAGGCCCUUCGGGGUACUCGAGCGGCGAACGGGUGAGUAACACGUGAGUAACCUCCCCUAGGCUUUGGGAUAACCCCGGGAAACCGGGGCUAAUACCGGAUAUGACCUGGUGCCGCAUGGUGUUGGGUGGAAAGUUUUUUCGGCCUGGGAUGGGCCCGCGGCCUAUCAGCUUGUUGGUGGGGUGAUGGCCUACCAAGGCGAUGACGGGUAGCCGGCCUGAGAGGGCGACCGGCCACACUGGGACUGAGACACGGCCCAGACUCCUACGGGAGGCAGCAGUGGGGAAUAUUGCACAAUGGGCGGAAGCCUGAUGCAGCGACGCCGUGUGAGGGAUGAAGGCCUUCGGGUUGUAAACCUCUUUCAGCAGGGACGAAGCGUGAGUGACGGUACCUGCAGAAGAAGCGCCGGCCAACUACGUG
Molecule: ribosomal RNA, 462 nt
Filed under: uncultured bacterium
Lineage: Bacteria
Description: partial 16S ribosomal RNA
Rfam family: Bacterial small subunit ribosomal RNA
Source: RNAcentral